AAUAUUUGACGCCGUUGACUUUUUAGCACAUGUUUGACCAUUCGUCUUAUUCAAAAAAUUUAAGUAAUUAUUAAUUAUUUUCCUAUCAUUUGAUUCAUUGUUAAAUAUAUUUUUAUGUAGGCAUAUAAUUUUACAUAUUUUACAAAAGUUUUUGAAUAAGACGAAUGGUCAAACAUGUGCUAAAAAGUCAACGGUAUCGAACAUU
This 205-nucleotide microRNA precursor is filed under the name Oryza barthii. Its description in RNAcentral is "MIR812 microRNA precursor family". It matches the Rfam family "MIR812 microRNA precursor family". Lineage: Eukaryota; Viridiplantae; Streptophyta; Magnoliopsida; Poales; Poaceae. The record is from Rfam by way of RNAcentral.